RNAcentral lists this ribosomal RNA (497 nucleotides) under uncultured bacterium. Its description in RNAcentral is "partial 16S ribosomal RNA". It matches the Rfam family "Bacterial small subunit ribosomal RNA", at positions 28 to 507 of the family's 1533-position model. The record is from RNAcentral.
GAUGAACGCUGGCGGCGUGCCUAAUACAUGCAAGUCGAGCGAACGGACGAUACGCUUGCUGUUCUGAUGUUAGCGGCGGACGGGUGAGUAACACGUGGAUAACCUACCUAUAAUACUGGGAUAACUUCGGGAAACCGGAGCUAAUACCAGAUAAUAUUUUGAACCGCAUGGGGCAAAAGUGAAAGACGGUGUUGCGGUCACUUAUAGAUGGAUCCGCGCUGCAUUAGCUAGUUGGUAAGGUAACGGCCUACCAAGGCAACGAUGCAUAGCCGACCGGAGAGAGGGGUCGCCCACAUUGGAGCGUGGACGCGGACCUGAGUACUGCGGGACGCAGCAGUCGCGAACGUUACGCAGUGGGCGGGAGCCUGGCGGAGCGGCGGGACGUGUGUGACGGCGACCUUCGGAUCGUGAUACUCUGUUACUAGUGGAAAACAUCUGUGUACGUAGCUGUAGACAUCUUGACGGUACCUAAUCAGAAAGCCCCGGCUAACUACGUG